GGGGGUAUUCUGGUUUCGACGAAACUGUGGAUCUCCGCACUGCAACCAGAGGUUGGUCGGCUGGCCUCUAUAAAAGCCGCCCACACAAACAGAAGGCAAUGUCAUCGACAUCAACUUCGCCCCCAGCGUCGCGGAAGCUGACGCCAUCCUCGCCAAAUUCGGCUAUGCCGAACGCGAGCUGGCAGCUGCCUAAGCGCACUGGUCCGGCCUGGAGCAAUCCCGCCGGAAGGUUCUCGCAGCUGGCUGCGUGAUAGGUGCCUGUCCCGAAUGACAUGCAACGGUGCUACAGCGUAGCUGUGGCAGACGCCGAUGAUUCGGCUGGGUCGCCUGACCGAGAGAGGGCUGGGUUGUCAUCUGCCGAGUACGGGUGACUAUGGUUGUAGAUGUGCGUGGUGAAGUGGUUCCGGACAGGGGUUCGACUCCCCUUACCUCCACCA
Molecule: transfer-messenger RNA, 437 nt
Filed under: Hyphomicrobiaceae bacterium
Lineage: Bacteria; Pseudomonadati; Pseudomonadota; Alphaproteobacteria; Hyphomicrobiales; Hyphomicrobiaceae
Rfam family: transfer-messenger RNA
About the family: Bacterial tmRNA, also known as 10Sa RNA or SsrA, is named for its dual tRNA and mRNA-like properties. Its role is to liberate the mRNA from a stalled ribosome. To accomplish this part of the tmRNA is used as a reading frame that ends in a translation stop signal.
Source: RNAcentral